ACAUUACAGCCAGGCGAAGACAGAUUCAGAUCGAUCACUCGAUCGUACUACGAUGAAGUUGAUGGAGCUCUUCUAGUUUAUGACAUCACCAGGAGGGAAACGUUCAAUCAUCUCACAAGCUCAUUAAGGGGUGUGAGGCGACUUGCAAAGGACAACAUGACAAUAAUGCUAGUUGGAAACAAAUGUGAUCUAUCUCUGAGGCGUGCUGUGAGCUAUGAGGAAGGUAGGAAGUUCGCAAAUGAGCAUGGUCUGAUCUUUGUGGAGGCAUCUGCGAAAACUGCGCAAAAUGUUGAGGAGGGUUUCGUUCAGACUGCUCGAGUCAUAUUCAAGAAAAUCCAGGAUGGUGUCUUCUAA
Molecule: ribosomal RNA, 354 nt
Filed under: Triticum aestivum (bread wheat)
Lineage: Eukaryota; Viridiplantae; Streptophyta; Magnoliopsida; Poales; Poaceae
Description: partial small subunit ribosomal RNA
Source: RNAcentral